UUUGUGUUUUGAAUUUGUGUAUUGUAAUUUACGAAAGCCGUAGUUGUAUUGUACGUGUUGUAUUCAAAGCGGGCAUUGCUCAUUCAGUUGCUGCCAGAAGACUUUGUUUUGAUUUUUUUUUGUUUACCGUCCUUUAUACAGCGCUGUUUAGCUUUUACACUUUGACUUGCAGCGCUCAUCAGUCUAAUCGCUCUAACGAUAAGGACAACUUCUGCCUUCUGGAUCUUCUGUCAAUCUGAAAACUUCCCAUUGUACCUACAACAGAGUAGACUUUCAGUUUUUGUGGAGUACUUACAGCUUACUUAUUAAGACUUGACACUUGAGAGAAUUCUACGAGAGUUGACGAAUCACGAAUCCUGUGACGAUGUUUUCAUAACGUUUAUAAUUUUAUUUUUUGUGAACCGUCGACUGUGGAUGUGGUGGUGGCGUCCUUGGUGUGUCUGGCGUUCUUUCCAUCUCUUUCCUCUGCCAGACAUCUCCGGCCCAGGGAUUCGUAACCCUGCUGGAUGUGAGGAGAACAGUAUGUCGGCCAUCCACAGCAGCAGUAUGCGGGCCUUUGCGGAUGCGGAUCGCCGCGGGAAGUUUGUCGCGCGGACGGCAGGGCCGCCGACGCAGAUCACGCGCAAAGCCCGCUGGUACUUUGGUGGUCUGGCUAGCACCAUGGCCGUAUCCAUCACGCAUCCCCUCGAUCUGCUCAAGGUGUACCUGCAAACCCAGGAGCAGGGCCGUCUGAAGAUGAUCCCCAGCGCGGUGCACAUUGUCAAGACCCAGGGCGUGCUGGCGCUGUACAACGGGAUCAGCGCCUCCGUGCUGCGCCAGUUGACGCACACCACGGCACGUUUCGGGAUGUACGAGAUGAUGAAACCGGCCGAUCCCCACCGCCCGCACUCCUUCCCCUACAAAGUCCUGACGGCCGGCGUCAGCGGGGCCUUUGGGGGCUUUGUGGGGGCGCCGGCGGACCUGGUGAAUGUGCGCAUGCAGAAUGAUGUCAAACUGCCGCUGGAAGAGCGGCGCAACUACAAAAACGGUCUCGACGGAUUGAUCCGGGUGUGCCGGGAAGAGGGCUUCCUGCGGCUGUGGCGCGGCUCCUCCAUGGUGAUGGUGCGGGCCGUCUUCAUCACCAUCGGCCAGUUGUCCUUCUACGACCAGGUCAAACAGAUGCUGCUGCAUCUGGGAUUCGCCGAUUCCGUGCCAACGCAUCUGCUCAGCAGUUCCGUUGCGGCAAUGGCCAGUACGACGGUGUCCGCGCCGUUCGAUGUGGUGAAAACACGGAUGCAGAAUAACUGCGACCGUUAUCGGAAUCUCCGGCAUUGUUUCAGUGAAACAGCCCGCACAGGCGGUGUACGAGCAUUCUUUCAGGGAUACUUGCCGGCAUUCAUUCGCAUCGGACCGCAGACGAUCCUGAUGUUUCUCCUGUAUGAACAACUGCGCCUCCACUUCGGCAUCCACAUCCCGAUACGCACGGACACGGAAGCAGCGGCCUGAGCUGCAUCGUAUAUGCUGUCAACGGCAUGACGUGAAUAUCGUUCUCCUGGAUCUGUCGUUAAGGAAUUGAGGUUGUGACAGCGCAGUCUUGUGAUAUACAUGGCCGACGGUUGUGCAUACAUUAUUGCCGACACUUUUUUGCUUUUAUAAUUCUGGCAUUUUUUGAAUAGUUUAUUGGCUUGAUUGUUGUUGAACCGGUUCAGGGAAGAAAUGCUGGCUGAAAAUUACCGACCGACUGUGUAACAAAGCGAUUUCGAUACAAUGUAAUGGAGAAACUCGGUGAAUUAUGAAUUUUUGUGAAGGCGUGUGAAUGAUGAAUAUUUCUAAUCAAUGAUGGUUAACCUUAUUUGGAGCACAGACAAUUUUAUCGUUAUCAACAUUGUCGAUCCAACAAUGGAAUUGGCCCGCUUUGCCG
This is an RNA transcript of Paramacrobiotus metropolitanus, 1900 nucleotides long. It is a transcript of the gene named mitochondrial dicarboxylate carrier-like, with no coding region annotated. NCBI's taxonomy places the organism in Eukaryota, Metazoa, Tardigrada, Eutardigrada, Parachela, Macrobiotidae. The transcript is spliced from 8 exons. The record is from RefSeq and is a predicted model, not a curated record.